UACGAAGGGGCUAGCGUUGCUCGGAAUCACUGGGCGUAAAGGGUGCGUAGGCGGGUCUUUAAGUCAGGGUGAAAUCCUGGAGCUCAACUCCAGAACUGCCUUUGAUACUGAAGAUCUUGAGUUCGGGAGAGGUGAGUGGAACUGCGAGUGUAGAGGUGAAAUUCGUAGAUAUUCGCAAGAACACCAGUGGCGAAGGCGGCUCACUGGCCCGAUACUGACGCUGAGGCACGAAA
Molecule: ribosomal RNA, 233 nt
Filed under: uncultured bacterium
Lineage: Bacteria
Description: partial 16S ribosomal RNA
Rfam family: Bacterial small subunit ribosomal RNA
Source: RNAcentral